CUUGCCCUACGGGGGGCAGCAGUGAGGAAUAUUGGUCAAUGGGCGAGAGCCUGAACCAGCCACGUCGCGUGAAGGAUGACGGCCCUAUGGGUUGUAAACUUCUUUUGUCAGGGAGCAAUUGAGUCCACGUGUGGGCUUAGCGAGAGUACCUGAAGAAAAAGCAUCGGCUAACUCCGUGCCAGCAGCCGCGGUAAUACGGAGGAUGCGAGCGUUAUCCGGAUUUAUUGGGUUUAAAGGGUGCGUAGGCGGAAUAUCAAGUCAGCGGUAAAAAUGCGG
This 276-nucleotide ribosomal RNA is filed under the name uncultured bacterium. RNAcentral describes it as "partial 16S ribosomal RNA". It matches the Rfam family "Bacterial small subunit ribosomal RNA", at positions 333 to 605 of the family's 1533-position model. The record is from RNAcentral.